CGGAGCCCAACUCAGGGCUUGAUCUCACGACCCCGAGAUCAUGACCUGAGCUGAAAUCAAGAGCCGGACACUUAACCGACAGAGUCACCACACAGGCACCCCAAGAGUCUGUGAGUUUUCAACAAGAGGGAAAUGAAACAUGACUCAAAAAUAUCUUGGAGUGCCAUGAGAGCUGAAGGACAAAGCUAAACUCCAUCUACAAGCACACCAAACAGGAACAACAAGAAUUGAAGAUUCCUGUCCUGAUUCCAAAAGCGAGGGGAGGAGAUUUUCUUUAUUUGAGACAGAGAGAAUGAGAGACAGAGCAUGAGAGGGAGGAGGGUCAGAGGGAGAACCAGACUCCCCGCUGAGCAGGGAGCCCGAUGCGGGACUCGAUCCCAGGACUCCAGGAUCAUGACCUGAGCUGAAGGCAGUCGCUUAACCAACUGAGCCACCCAGGCGCCCUAUAGACCCAUCUUUCUAACAAUAAAUAUUUCCAUCUGGAUAUAUCACCAUGUCUCAAGUUCAAGCUCUCUAUCCUGAACCCAUCAUCUUCACCUCAAAC
Molecule: long non-coding RNA, 544 nt
Organism: Mirounga angustirostris (Northern elephant seal)
Lineage: Eukaryota; Metazoa; Chordata; Mammalia; Carnivora; Phocidae
Exons: 3
Source: RefSeq, a predicted model, not a curated record